This 336-nucleotide unclassified non-coding RNA is filed under the name soil metagenome. Its description in RNAcentral is "partial contains 5.8S ribosomal RNA, internal transcribed spacer 2, and large subunit ribosomal RNA". The stretch from base 1 to 120 matches the Rfam family "5.8S ribosomal RNA", at positions 35 to 154 of the family's 154-position model. The record is from RNAcentral.
GAUGAAGAACGCAGCGAAAUGCGAUAAGUAAUGUGAAUUGCAGAAUUCAGUGAAUCAUCGAAUCUUUGAACGCACAUUGCGCCCGCCAGUAUUCUGGCGGGCUUGCCUGUUCGAGCGUCAUUUCAACCAUCAAGCCCCCGGCUUGUGUUGGGGACCUGCGGCUGCCGCAGGCCCUGAAAAGCAGUGGCGGGCUCGCUGUCACACCGAGCGUAGUAGCAUACAUCUCGCUCUGGGCGUGCUGCGGGUUCCGGCCGUUAAACCACCUUCAUAACCCAAGGUUGACCUCGGAUCAGGUAGGAAGACCCGCUGAACUUAAGCAUAUCAAUAAGCGGAGGA